Long non-coding RNA from Gallus gallus (chicken), 2996 nucleotides. RefSeq lists it as uncharacterized. The record is from RefSeq and is a predicted model, not a curated record. NCBI's taxonomy places the organism in Eukaryota, Metazoa, Chordata, Aves, Galliformes, Phasianidae. The transcript has 3 exons.
UCAGCAUGGGUUUAUGAAUGGUAGAUCUUGUCUGACAAAUCUGAUUUCAUUCUAUGACAAGGUGACCCACUUAGUGGAUGAAGGUAAGGCUGUCGAUGUAGUCUACCUGGACUUCAAUAAAACCUUUGAUACUGUCCCCCACAACUUUCUCGUGGAGAAGCUGGCUGCCCACGAUUUGGAUGGGCGUAUGCUCUGCUGGGUGAACCUCAGGCUGGAUGGCCGGGCCCGAAGAGUUGUGGUCAAUGGAGUUAAAUCCAGUUGGCAGCCGGUCACGAACAAUGUCCCCCAGGGCUCGAUACAUACAGCAAUAGGCAAAGGGCAAAGCUAUUGCAUGUUUGUGACAUUUCUUCACAGUUCCACCUGCUUCCUUUAGAGCUCCCAAAUGUGAUACUCUAAGCACAUCACACAGAUUGACUUGGCACUUCAUUUGUCACGAUAUGUUCAGGUAGACAAGGAAAUAAGCCACAUCAAUAGUAAGUACUAUUGCCUGCUUUUUAUGAAGUUUGUUACUGUGCUUUUGGAAGGUUUAUUCAUGAAGCUGAAUCCAACUGAUUUGGAGAAGAACAAACUGUUGGAAUUGAAAACAAAGACCAUCAUCAAAUGAAUCAUAUUGAUUCCAACAGCUUGGUCAUGUAGUACACAUGUUGCAAAUUUCCAAAUUUCAGCAGGUGUGAAAGAGAGAGAGGAUAUCUCAUUUUAUUACAGCAUACUCACGAAAUUUGCACCUAUUCUUUGUGAUACAAACUCAUAUCUCAUUUACCAUUCUGUGAAAAGACCUCAGCAGACAACGGGCAGCACAAAUAGAGAUGCUGUGUCGCAGAACAGAACUUAUCAACCCCUGCAAUGUGCUGCUGGAGAGUACACGUGGAAUACUGGUAACUGUUAUGAACAUUUUCUUAUGAGAUGGAUUCAGACAGGUAGAGAAGAGUUUGACUAAAUGAAAUGGUCUUGGAUUACUCUCAAAAUGUCCUAGUAUGGUGAUAAAGAAUUGUUCCCUUACUGAACUUGAUUACCAUCCUUCAUAGAAACAAAGAAGAAAAUGGUGAGGUUGACUCUUUUGAAUUUCCAGGAUGUUUUGAAAGUAGGAUAUGUGGACAAAUAAGAAACAGUGAUGUACAUAAACAGCCAGUGGCAGUUCUCAAUGUCUAGGGUCCUUCAAAGGAUAGUAGUUUCUCUAAAAUCACAGUGCUUUCUCUAAAAUCACUAACGCAAUUGCUUCUCCUGCCAGCAUUUCUUUAAGAUGAAUAGAGAUAGUGCUACAGAGGCCAGGUUUUUUGUUUUUUUGGACACUAUGGAUUCAUAAAAUUGAAGGGCCAUUUAUGGAUUCCCAGAAGGCAGAAGCCAGAGAAACUGUUCUGUUUCUCAGGCACCUUUUUAUCGUACAGCAAGGAAUGUUCCAAACCUUCAGGAGGACCUUCAGAUAUCUUAGCAAGUAACAAAAGGCUUUCUACAUGAUGUUCAGAGUGGAGGGAGAAUUGUAUCUAGGCAGACUGAGCAGCCUGCUUCCCUCUGCAGCCACUUUUGUGUGCAAAGAGCUUUCAUCCUUGAGUACAGUCACUACCAUCUGCUGCUGGGUGCAUGUGGCCCAUUUGCUGGCCUGGUGAUCCUUCACUGAUCAGAAAAUUUGGCCAGAGCAGCUACUUGGGAGAGAAGGCCAAACUGUUAUGAAGGCAAUCUAUGUCCAUCUCUGUUUGGGGACAGCACUGUGAGACAUGCUAAAAAGCUAAAGCAUGAAGUAAAGGUCUCCUGGUCCUUAUGUCAUUAACAUUUCUUUUUCCUGUGUUUUUAGAGGCUGGUGGUUAAUGAAUCAAUGACGCAUUUGGGGGGUAAAAAGCAAGGGGUAGAAGGGAGAUAUUGUCUUAAUUUCUGGCUGCAGUAGCAUUAUCUUUGGUACUUCAAAACUCAGUAUUACUUUUCAUGACUCUUUAACUCCUUCCUCAGACUACCUGGUGAACUUUUUUCCAUCCACUGGACACAGAGUCUCUUUUUGAUGGGGCUGUAAUACAUAACAGCAGAUCCACUUGGUCAUCUGGAAUCAUGAUUGCCAACACAGAGCCAUGUGUCACUGCAGGGGAAGAAUAACAGGCAAAAGGAUGACGUGGAUUUUCCAUGCUCUCCUGCUGCCAUUUAUUAUUACACUGCACAAGUUGGGUACAGCAGCUCAGACAGCUUCCUGCAUCAAAGACUGAAUACCUUGAAGAGAUGACACCCAGCAUUCCAGCCCCAUGCCUCAGUUUCCUCAGCUGAGAAAGAACCGAUGCCCUUUGAACAAAGCUGAAGGGAGACAGGAUGGAUCUUAUCCGGCAUUGGCUUCCAAGAUGAGCUCUGAGAGAAGUUUUAUCUUCCCUUUGGUGAAGCCUCAUCCAGGGGGAACAGAAUGGCAGUUUCUGGUUUCUCCUUCUCUACUGAAUUGCUCAUCAGCUCUUCAAAAUAGAAACUUUUUCUUCUUUGGACAUGCAGGCCAAAGAAAUUGAUUCCUCCAAGAAGCCAAGUAUUCUAAGAUUUGUGAGAGCAUGUAUCUCAGAAAUGCAUCCAGUCUUAAUUACAGACCUCAAGUGAUGAAUGCUAACUGUCAACAGUUCAAAAGGAGGCCUGAAAAAGGUAAAGUGACCUUGCAGAAUUGGUUAAUUGAUUACAGCUAUCACACCAUCAUCACACAAAGCAUUAUUUUACUUGUGUUGUGGAAACAGUCUGGUUCUGGUGAUUUCAGCACUGUGAAGAUGAGUAACUCUUAAACCAAUUCUUAGCAUUGUCUGUGCUUCUAAGAUUGCAAAAGGAUGGAGAGGUAACAUAUGGGAAUGGCACAAAGCUGCAUCAGGAGAGGUUCAAACUUGAUAGUGGAAAAAAUUUCUGUACCAUAAUGAUGGUCAAACACUGGAACAGGCUUCCUAGAGAGGUAAUUGAUGCCCAAUGCAUGUCAGUGUUCAAGAGGCAAUUGGAUAAUGCCCUGAAUAUACUUUUACCAUUGACUAGCCCUGAAAUGGUCAGGUGGUUGG